RNAcentral lists this ribosomal RNA (463 nucleotides) under uncultured bacterium. RNAcentral's name for it is "partial 16S ribosomal RNA". It matches the Rfam family "Bacterial small subunit ribosomal RNA", at positions 28 to 507 of the family's 1533-position model. The record is from RNAcentral.
GACGAACGCUGGCGGCACGCCUAACACAUGCAAGUCGAACGGACUUACAAGAGCUUGCUUUUUUAAGUUAGUGGCGGACGGGUGAGUAACACGUGAGCAACCUGCCUCUGAGAGGGGGAUAGCUUCUGGAAACGGAUGGUAAUACCCCAUAAAAUAUCAAUAUCGCAUGAUAGAUAUAUCAAAGAAAUUCGCUCAGAGAUGGGCUCGCGUCUGAUUAGAUAGUUGGUGAGGUAAAGGCUCACCAAGUCGACGAUCAGUAGCCGGACUGAGAGGUUGAACGGCCACAUUGGGACUGAGACACGGCCCAGACUCCUACGGGAGGCAGCAGUGGGGAAUAUUGCACAAUGGAGGGAACUCUGAUGCAGCGAUGCCGCGUGGAGGAAGAAGGUUUUCGGAUUGUAAACUCCUUUUAUCAGGGACGAUAAUGACGGUACCUGAAGAAAAAGCUCCGGCUAACUACGUG